Molecule: ribosomal RNA, 298 nt
Filed under: Salmonella enterica
Lineage: Bacteria; Pseudomonadati; Pseudomonadota; Gammaproteobacteria; Enterobacterales; Enterobacteriaceae
Also listed under: 4 other names
Description: partial 23S ribosomal RNA
Rfam family: Bacterial large subunit ribosomal RNA
Source: RNAcentral
GUUGGGUAGGGGAGCGUUCUGUAAGCCUGUGAAGGUGGCCUGUGAGGGUUGCUGGAGGUAUCAGAAGUGCGAAUGCUGACAUAAGUAACGAUAAAGCGGGUGAAAAGCCCGCUCGCCGGAAGACCAAGGGUUCCUGUCCAACGUUAAUCGGGGCAGGGUGAGUCGACCCCUAAGGCGAGGCCGAAAGGCGUAGUCGAUGGGAAACGGGUUAAUAUUCCCGUACUUGGUGUUACUGCGAAGGGGGGACGGAGAAGGCUAUGUUGGCCGGGCGACGGUUGUCCCGGUUUAAGCGUGUAGG